GUCGAGUGCGCGUGCCGUAGCAAUACGGUAUGGCGCACGGCGCACGGGUGCGUAACACGUGGGCAAUCUGCCCUCCGGUGGGGAAUAACCCCGCGAAAGCGGGGCUAAUUCCGCAUAACAUUCCCUGGACUCUGGUUCGGGGAUUCAAAGCAGCAAUGCGCCGGAGGAGGAGCCCGCGCCCGAUUAGCUAGUUGGUGAGGUGACGGCUCACCAAGGCAAUGAUCGGUAGCUGGUCUGAGAGGAUGGCCAGCCACACUGGAACUGAGACACGGUCCAGACUCCUACGGGAGGCAGCAGUGGGGAAUCUUGCGCAAUGGGCGAAAGCCUGACGCAGCGACGCCGCGUGGGGGAUGAAGCUUCUCGGAGUGUAAACCCCUUUCGACCGGGACGAAUGCCCGCAAGGGAGUGACGGUACCGGUAGAAGAAGCCCCGGCUAACUACGUGCCAGCAGCCGCGGUAAGACGUAGGGGGCCAGCGUUGUUCGGAAUUACUGGGUGUAAAGGGUUCGUAGGCGGUGUGGCAAGUCGGGAGUGAAAUUUCUGGGCUUAACCCAGAAGCUGCUUCCGAAACUGCUGUGCUAGAGUGCGGGAGAGGCGCGUGGAAUUGCAGGUGUAGCGGUGAAAUGCGUAGAUAUCUGCAGGAACACCCGUGGCGAAAGCGGCGCGCUGGACCGUUACUGACGCUGAGGAACGAAAGCUAGGGGAGCAAACAGGAUUAGAUACCCUG
This 726-nucleotide ribosomal RNA is filed under the name uncultured delta proteobacterium. RNAcentral describes it as "bacterial SSU rRNA". It matches the Rfam family "Bacterial small subunit ribosomal RNA", at positions 61 to 789 of the family's 1533-position model. The record is from RNAcentral. Lineage: Bacteria; Deltaproteobacteria.